GCCUAGGAAAGACCCGUGGACUGGCACAGAAAGUGUGAAAUACCACAUGAGCUCUGCUAAUAAGUCAGUACAGCUGUAAGAAGUCAAUGCAGUAUCAGCUGAUACCUGGGAGAAGAAAACCACAAACCCGUUUCUCUCUGCAGAGCAUUUCCAGCACACCUUAAGCCUGUGAACGACGCUGGCAUGACCCAUUAGCAGGAUGUUGUGCAAUAUGGUGCUUGUCAUCUGUUUCAAAGACACAGUGAUGAGAUACAGAGACUGGCACAUCAGCAAGAAAAGUUUUCUUCUUGGAGAGAAAUACUACAAUACAUCCAAGACAAGAGGAGACAACAUGACCCAGGGAAUACUUUCCUUUCCCUGGCACAUACUUGAGGAUCACAUCUCUCACAGGUGUCUUUGGCAUAACAGGGACCAGCAAACAACUUGUGACCCAAAAGAGAAACAGCAGCAGUAG
RNAcentral lists this long non-coding RNA (454 nucleotides) under Lonchura striata (white-rumped munia). RNAcentral describes it as "domestica (Bengalese finch) lncRNA (ENSLSDG00000016852.1)". Lineage: Eukaryota; Metazoa; Chordata; Aves; Passeriformes; Estrildidae. The record is from RNAcentral.